This 471-nucleotide small RNA is filed under the name Pongo abelii (Sumatran orangutan). Its description in RNAcentral is "processed transcript". The record is from RNAcentral. Lineage: Eukaryota; Metazoa; Chordata; Mammalia; Primates; Hominidae.
AGUUGCAAAUGAUCAGAGACGGGUGAACUGCAGGCAGCCUGUGUUGCUGCCUGGAAGUAGAUUUCCAUCUUUCAGACACUAGUUCCAAUGGGCCGGGUGUUCUGGAAGGGGGUGGCAGUGGGGAGGAGGAUGCUGUGAGCAGAGUUCUUGAAGCUCCACUCCUCUGGGGAAGCCGAGCUGUGUGGGAGCCUUCUUACUGUGCUGGGAGCGUGUGAAUUGGAAAGAUCCUGAGAGCUGGCUAGUCCCAGUUCCUCUCCGGAAAAGCAGUGGCUCUCGCUUCAGAGAUGCGCCCAGCUUUCGCCUGCAUCACACUGCAAUUCUACAAAGAAAUUAAAGGAUGUUCUUGAAGAAUUCCAUGGUAAUGGUGUGCUUGCAAAGUAUAAUCCUGAAGGGAAACAAGACAUUCUUAACCAAACAAUAGAUUUUGAAGGUUUCAAACUAUUCAUGAAGACAUUCCUGGAAGCCGAGCUU